UUUCGCAAUGCCCGAAAGGGUGACGAAGCGACGCCGCGUGUGGGAAGAAGGCCUUCGGGUUGUAAACCACUGUCGGGAGUUAAGAAAUGUAAGGGUGUUAAUAGUAUCCUUACUUGACUAAGGCUCCGGAGGAAGCCACGGCUAACUCUGUGCCAGCAGCCGCGGUAAUACAGAGGCGGCAAGCGUUGUUCGGAAUUAUUGGGCGUAAAGAGCACGUAGGCGGUCUUGUAAGUCGGUUGUGAAAUCCUUCCGCUCAACGGAAGAACAGCAUCUGAUACUGCAAGGCUAGAGUGCGGAAGGGGAGAGUGGAACUUCUGGUGGAGCGGUGAAAUGCGUAGAUAUCAGAAGGAACACCGGCGGCGAAGGCGACUCUCUGGUCCGUAACUGACGCUGAGUGUGCGAAAGCUAGGGGAGCAAACGGGAUUAGAUACCCCGGUAGUCCUAGCCGUAAACGAUGGGCACUAAGUAGAGGGGUUUUA
RNAcentral lists this ribosomal RNA (479 nucleotides) under uncultured bacterium. RNAcentral's name for it is "bacterial SSU rRNA". It matches the Rfam family "Bacterial small subunit ribosomal RNA", at positions 364 to 833 of the family's 1533-position model. The record is from RNAcentral.